GUGAACUGCGGAAGGACAU
This 19-nucleotide ribosomal RNA is filed under the name Tricholoma columbetta. Its description in RNAcentral is "partial 18S ribosomal RNA". The record is from RNAcentral. Lineage: Eukaryota; Fungi; Basidiomycota; Agaricomycetes; Agaricales; Tricholomataceae.